This 443-nucleotide ribosomal RNA is filed under the name Meroles suborbitalis. RNAcentral's name for it is "partial 16S ribosomal RNA". It matches the Rfam family "Archaeal large subunit ribosomal RNA", at positions 2006 to 2641 of the family's 2987-position model. The record is from RNAcentral. Lineage: Eukaryota; Metazoa; Chordata; Lepidosauria; Squamata; Lacertidae.
GGCCGCGGUAUCCUAACCGUGCAAAGGUAGCAUAAUCACUUGUCUCCUAAAUAGGGACUAGAAUGAACGGUUAAAUGAGGACUUUACUGUCUCUUACAUCCGACCAAUAAACCUGAUCUUUCAGUCCAAAAGCUGAAAUAAACUCAUAAGACGAGAAGACCCUGUGGAGCUUCAAAACCAAACCCACCCCACAUGUUUAUCUUGGUUUUUAGUUGGGGCAACUUUGGAGUACAAACCACCCUCCAAUUACGGAAUCACAAUUUUAGAUGUACAUAUCAAAAUUUUAUCCUGACCCAGCAGUUAUCUAUUAAACUAUCUGAACUACGAACCAAGUUACCCCAGGGAUAACAGCGCCAUCCUCUUCUAGAGUUCCUAUCGACAAGAGGGUUUACGACCUCGAUGUUGGAUCAGGACACCCCUAUAGUGCAGCCGCUAUAAAAGGU